Molecule: ribosomal RNA, 497 nt
Filed under: uncultured bacterium
Lineage: Bacteria
Description: partial 16S ribosomal RNA
Rfam family: Bacterial small subunit ribosomal RNA
Source: RNAcentral
GAUGAACGCUGGCGGCGUGCCUAAUACAUGCAAGUCGAGCGAACAGACGAGGAGCUUGCUCCUUUGACGUUAGCGGCGGACGGGUGAGUAACACGUGGGUAACCUACCUAUAAGACUGGGAUAACUUCGGGAAACCGGAGCUAAUACCGGAUAAUAUUUCGAACCGCAUGGUUCGAUAGUGAAAGAUGGCUUUGCUAUCACUUAUAGAUGGACCUGCGCCGUAUUAGCUAGUUGGUAAGGUAACGGCUUACCAAGGCAACGAGACGUAGCCGACCGGAGAGGGUGAUCGGCCACACUGGAACUGGGACACGGUCCAGACUCCUACGGGAGGCAGCAGUAGGGAAUCUUCCGCAAUGGGCGAAAGCCUGACGGAGCAACGCCGCGUGAGUGAUGAAGGUCUUCGGAUCGUAAAACUCUGUUAUUAGGGAAGAACAAACGUGUAAGUAACUGUGCACGUCUUGACGGUACCUAAUCAGAAAGCCACGGCUAACUACGUG